This is a long non-coding RNA of Mastomys coucha (southern multimammate mouse), 519 nucleotides long. RefSeq lists it as uncharacterized. The record is from RefSeq and is a predicted model, not a curated record. The transcript has 2 exons. NCBI's taxonomy places the organism in Eukaryota, Metazoa, Chordata, Mammalia, Rodentia, Muridae.
AUCUCUGCUCCCUCCCAUGGAACUUUACUGACUGCUGUCUGUCCCGGCCACCGCUAACUCUUAUCUGCCACUAGUCAACAUUGGAGACCAGGUCUUUCUGUGCCUUCUGGACCAUCAUCCUUCACCCCUUUCUCCUAAAUGGCAAGGCCUCUUCAAGGAUUGCCAACUGUCGGCCAAGGAGCUUGAGGGUAAUGACUGUCAAAUGUGCCCUGACGAUGAGGACCAACUGCAUCGCAGAAAUUGAUGACACCCGCAGACAGCAGGACAUAGCCUAAGGAACCAAUGUCCUCAUCCCUGCCUCGCCAUCUCUCCCCUUCUAGUUCCUCUUCUUUAUAAUAAACCAAGGGGAGCAGCCUGAGGGUCCUGGUGACAGCAGGGCACAUCAUCACAUUCCUCCUGUCACUUGUCCUGCAUCCCCUGAUAAAAUCACCCCACCUCCCCUUUUCCCUUCAUCUCCACCAGGGGCAGCCUGUGUAUCCACUCCCUCCUCCCUAAAUAAACCUCCCAUGUGAGACCUGC